RNAcentral lists this long non-coding RNA (1913 nucleotides) under Gallus gallus (chicken). Lineage: Eukaryota; Metazoa; Chordata; Aves; Galliformes; Phasianidae. The record is from RNAcentral.
CUCAGGAGGUGUUCAAGAAAUGCGGAGAUGCAGCACUGAGGAAUGUGGUCAUUUUGUCUACAGUGCUUGACUACAAAGGUUUUGGGGACAAUUCAUGCUUUUAACGUAGAAGUGGUAUGAGUUUUCUAUCAGCAAGCUUUGUACCCUGAAGGUCUCCUGAGUGUACUGAUGCCAUCCCCUCCAGGAAAGGUAGCACAAUGCCUAACUUAGCUGUUGGGCUGCAACACAACCUUCACUUUUGUCAUGGACUGCUAAUUGAAAACCCACUCAAGAUAAAGGAACUGAAUCUUUGCGUUGCAAGAGUUUGGGUCUGGUUUAUGGAAUGCUAUGGGAGUCCCAUGCCAGGGACAAUUCCAGCGACUGGAUGGUACAAACAAUUUAACUAUGGAGAUAAGGUACACUGUUGCACAAUGUUUAAUUCACCAGCACUGGAAUAAACGGGGGAUAGCCAAGACCCAGCCCAUGGAUGCAGAGCAAAGUGGCAUCUGGAUAAUGGAGUUUAAAAAAUACCAAGGCACAACAUUCUGUUUGGCUCUGCCUAUCAGCAGGAAUAUAUUUUCUUCAGGAAAACAGACACCAAUCUGCUGUGUCUUUCACUGGCACUGGGGGCUAGCACACAUUACCUUCAGUCCUUGGGCUACCUACAGUCUGUCCGUCUUCCAUUUAUUCUUUUGUAUGUGUGAACUACCUCCAAUCAUUUCUGAUCUAAGUAUGAAUUACUGACAUAAGUUAACUAGGAGAGUAACAUACAGCAAAUAAUAAACAGACGAUGAGCUUUUGGGUACAAAUUUUAUGAAACAUAAAUAUUCAUGCUGGUGUUUAUGCACACAGGAGCUGAGAGCAUUUCCUCUGCUAUCUAGAAGAUGUAUAAAAACUUUGUAUGUUUCUGAUUGCAUUUUCUUGUUGCUUUUACUUUUCUCUUUGAGAUCAGCUCUGUGUUCUCUAUGCCGAACAUCAAACCUCAGUACAUUUUGAUAGCUAAAGUAUUUGUUUCAGCUAAUGAAAAUCUCUCAUGUGGGCUGCUAUUUCCUGUUAAAAGUGGAGUGCCUUUUAUAACUAGAAGAUGGUAUUAGAUUUUUAAUUAUAUGUUGCUGUGUAACACUACUUAAAUAGAACUUGAGAAAUAAUUCUUGUGUAGCAAAUAAGUGAAAUUUAAAGCACGGGUUCCAUUUAAUUAGACAUUUUCUGCUUUAACAGUUGAAUUCCCUACCCAAAUUUCAUUUCCAUAAUCAAGACAUGUUAACAUACUGUUAUUUCAUCAAAACAGUCACUGCAACCUUCUCUUUCCAUAAUUCUAUUUACAUUAAGAUUAAUUGAGAAUAUUUGCAUAAUGCCAAAAGACUGAAGUUUCACACAAGAUGGUAGAAUAUGUUCUCUCCUACCUACCCCCAGUUUUAGUAGUCUAAUCACUAAAGGCAAUGAGUAAGAUUCAACACUGGAAACAGAACUCUUAUUGUGAGCUUUAUGAACGGUGAUGGAAAAUAUAGACAGUGUAGUAAAUGCAGUGAAAAAUAUGUAUUUUUAUUUGUGUUUUAAAAGCCUCAUUUCUCUUUUUGUGAUUCAGAUGCAUCAUGUGAAAAACAUUUGUGUAAAAGCUCUCAUCAAGUGCACCAGUUGAAAAGAGGAGGAAGGAGCAUGGAAAUAAAUGCUUUUUCAAAAUUAAGGGUCGUCUAUAUUCAGUCAAUUCAAGAUCAUGUUCUCAGUUCUCUUCGUUCCUUGAGGAGGCACUGGGCUGUUUCAGAAACAUCUUUCAGUGCUUUGUGCAGUGCUGGUGUGUUGGGUUCGCAGUGCCAAAGGAUCCAUUCUUUGAGUUGCAGAAAGAAUCAUGGGGUUUUUUAUGUACCUAGCAAUAGGACAAGAGGAAAGUGCUUUAAGUUGGAUAUUAGGAGGAAUUCUUUCUCACAAGGAGUGGU